GACCCGCUCCCCGCGCGGUGGGAACGAGGCGGGGCGUGGCCGCGGCGCUGCUGAGAAGUCGGGGCCGCCGAGCCGCUGUCGGCGGGAAGCGGCGAUCCUGCCACCGGGAGGUGUGGAAGAGCCGGAUUCUGGCUACAUUGGAGAUUGGUUGCUUUCUAAAACUGAAGGAGAAGCCCAUGAAGAGAUGGUGGAUUCUCACUGAGUUUUGACUAGCGGAAGAAAAGAGAGAGUUCAAGUGGAUGGCCUUGAGGACUUGAAAAGCUGAGAUAUGAUGAUUUUGAAGUCAUUUCACAUCGAAGCCAUGAUUUAAAUAUCGGCGUUAAGAUUUCAACAAGAAAAACUUAAGCUUCCUUGGAUUCCCACGUCAAAGGAAAGUUUCAAGCUUUCAGAAGGAGUUCUCACUCGAAGAUAAAGAACAGCUCGCUAACCACGAAAGAGGAAUCGAUGCUCAGCUUUUAGUUGCACUUCCUAAAGUUGCAGAAUUAAGACAAAUCUUUGAACCAAAGAAGAAAGAAUUCUUAG
Molecule: long non-coding RNA, 522 nt
Filed under: Homo sapiens (human)
Lineage: Eukaryota; Metazoa; Chordata; Mammalia; Primates; Hominidae
Description: HSALNT0160655
Source: RNAcentral